ACUUAUCACACCCCCCAACCUACAUUUUGCUAGUCCUCGAGCAAAAAUAAAAACUAACUCACUUUCGCAGGAAUCGCGAUUGCAUUUACCGUAUGCAAUAAGGCUUUAAACCCCUAGGUGGCCCUAGUGGACGAGUUUUGUCUCGUGAGGAUUUCCGGCUCAGAUACCCACAAACUGCGGUCUCUACCCAGUUUAUUUUAUUGUUUUAUAAAAUCUAAUUUCAAAUGCAUAAGUGCCAAGAAUUUCAAAAACACACAAAGUUUUAUUACUAAGUCAGCCCAAAUCCUAGGUCAAGAUGCAACUUAAGUUGAAGUCAUUAAGUUUCCGUUAGAGAGUUGUAAGGCUAAUUUAUACUUGGGUGCUCA
RNAcentral lists this long non-coding RNA (365 nucleotides) under Phoenix dactylifera (date palm). RNAcentral's name for it is "long non-coding RNA (PDAC_LNC011152)". The record is from RNAcentral. Lineage: Eukaryota; Viridiplantae; Streptophyta; Magnoliopsida; Arecales; Arecaceae.